CCAAGGCUUCUAAGGCUUUCUCCGGGUAAAUGAGAGCCCUAGGAAGCCUCAGGACAUGAAAGGGAGAGGGGGUUGGAAGCUUUCAAUUUGUUUAAAUUAUUUCCAGCACUGGAUCUGUUUUUGGUUGGCAUAGCUUUAUGUCAACAGGAUUUUAGCCAUUAUUUUGCAAACUCACAGACAAUUGCACAUGCUUACAUGCCUCCAGCUUGCACUCCAGAUAUGGAACAAAAGCUUUUACUUACAGCUGGGCUGUCAAAUGCGACCACAUUUGCUCUGAUUUACAGCAGGCAUUUCCUAAAAUACAGUAUUCACUCCAUGAGGUGAAAAAAACAAAUUGUCAGGGCAAGAAGGGGACCCAGGAACCAGCAAUUACUGGGCAGACAGAAAAGAGAGAAUGACAGCACAUGUGACUGGUUAUGUCAUCUACAGCUCCCAUCUUUGUUCUCCUUUUACUCUGGCAGCACUAGAAAGGAAGCUGUGAAAGCUUACUGAAAGUAUUUAUCUGGUCAUGGGACUGGCAUACAAUCAGGUGACUAUCUGCCUACUUGCAGUGGCCUCAAGACAGCAUACAUACAGCAAGAGGGCAGUAAAAACAACGACAGGAAUAAUAAAGAACAUGAAUGCAAAACAUCGCUAAUUAAAAUAGCAAAA
This is a non-coding RNA of Pogona vitticeps (central bearded dragon), 651 nucleotides long. The record is from RefSeq and is a predicted model, not a curated record. NCBI's taxonomy places the organism in Eukaryota, Metazoa, Chordata, Lepidosauria, Squamata, Agamidae.